UACGUAGGGCGCAAGCGUUGUCCGGAAUUAUUGGGCGUAAAGAGCUCGUAGGCGGCUUGUCGCGUCGAUUGUGAAAGCCCGGGGCUUAACUCCGGGUCUGCAGUCGAUACGGGCAGGCUAGAGUGUGGUAGGGGAGAUCGGAAUUCCUGGUGUAGCGGUGAAAUGCGCAGAUAUCAGGAGGAACACCGGUGGCGAAGGCGGAUCUCUGGGCCAUUACUGACGCUGAGGAGCGAAAGCGUGGGUAGCAAACAGG
Molecule: ribosomal RNA, 253 nt
Filed under: uncultured bacterium
Lineage: Bacteria
Description: partial 16S ribosomal RNA
Rfam family: Bacterial small subunit ribosomal RNA
Source: RNAcentral